GAUCCUGGCUCAGGAUGAACGCUGGCGGCGUGCCUAAUACAUGCAAGUCGAACGAACUGUCUUCGGGCAGUGAGUGGCGAACGUGUGAGUAAUACAUAAGCAAUCUGCCCAUGGGACUGGGAUAACGUCUGGAAACGGACGCUAAUACCGGAUAGGCUGGGGUGAGGCAUCUUACUCCAAUUAAAGUUGGGAUACAACACCGAUGGAUGAGCUUAUGGCGUAUUAGCUAGUAGGUG
Molecule: ribosomal RNA, 236 nt
Filed under: uncultured bacterium
Lineage: Bacteria
Description: partial 16S ribosomal RNA
Rfam family: Bacterial small subunit ribosomal RNA
Source: RNAcentral